UGCAGCGACGCCGCGNUGGGGGAUGAAGGCCUUCGGGUUGUAAACCCCUUUCAGCAGGGAAGAAGCGAAAGUGACGGUACCUGCAGAAGAAGCGCCGGCUAACUACGUGCCAGCAGCCGCGGUAAUACGUAGGGCGCAAGCGUUGUCCGGAUUUAUUGGGCGUAAAGAGCUCGUAGGCGGUUUGUCGCGUCUGCUGUGAAAACCCGAGGCUCAACCUCGGGCCUGCAGUGGGUACGGGCAGACUAGAGUGCGGUAGGGGAGACUGGAAUUCCUGGUGUAGCGGUGGAAUGCGCAGAUAUCAGGAGGAACACCGAUGGCGAAGGCAGGUCUCUGGGCCGCAACUGACGCUGAGGAGCGAAAGCAUGGGGAGCGAACAGGAUUAGAUACCCUGGUAGUCCAUGCCGUAAACGUUGGGCACUAGGUGUGGGGCUCAUUCCACGAGUUCCGUGCCGCAGCAAACGCAUUAAGUGCCCCGCCUGGGGAGUACGGCCGCAAGGCUAAAACUCAAAG
RNAcentral lists this ribosomal RNA (510 nucleotides) under uncultured Actinomycetes bacterium. Its description in RNAcentral is "bacterial SSU rRNA". It matches the Rfam family "Bacterial small subunit ribosomal RNA", at positions 387 to 906 of the family's 1533-position model. Lineage: Bacteria; Bacillati; Actinomycetota; Actinomycetes. The record is from RNAcentral.